CAGGCCUAACACAUGCAAGUCGAACGGAAAGGCCCUGCUUUUGUGGGGUGCUCGAGUGGCGAACGGGUGAGUAACACGUGAGUAACCUGCCCUUGACUUUGGGAUAACUUCAGGAAACUGGGGCUAAUACCGGAUAGGAGCUCCUGCUGCAUGGUGGGGGUUGGAAAGUUUCGGCGGUUGGGGAUGGACUCGCGGCUUAUCAGCUUGUUGGUGGGGUAGUGGCUUACCAAGGCUUUGACGGGUAGCCGGCCUGAGAGGGUGACCGGCCACAUUGGGACUGAGAUACGGCCCAGACUCCUACGGGAGGCAGCAGUGGGGAAUAUUGCACAAUGGGCGGAAGCCUGAUGCAGCAACGCCGCGUGCGGGAUGACGGCCUUCGGGUUGUAAACCGCUUUCGCCUGUGACGAAGCGUGAGUGACGGUAAUGGGUAAAGAAGCACCGGCUAACUACGUGCCAGCAGCCGCGGUGAUACGUAGGGUGCGAGCGUUGUCCGGAUUUAUUGGGCGUAAAGGGCUCGUAGGUGGUUGAUCGCGUCGGAAGUGUAAUCUUGGGGCUUAACCCUGAGCGUGCUUUCGAUACGGGUUGACUUGAGGAAGGUAGGGGAGAAUGGAAUUCCUGGUGGAGCGGUGGAAUGCGCAGAUAUCAGGAGGAACACCAGUGGCGAAGGCGGUUCUCUGGGCCUUUCCUGACGCUGAGGAGCGAAAGCGUGGGAGCGAACAGGCUUAGAUACCCUGGUAGUCCACGCUGUAA
This 750-nucleotide ribosomal RNA is filed under the name uncultured bacterium. RNAcentral's name for it is "bacterial SSU rRNA". It matches the Rfam family "Bacterial small subunit ribosomal RNA", at positions 43 to 805 of the family's 1533-position model. The record is from RNAcentral.